AAGUAUGAUUAUUCAGCUACAUCUUCAACCAAACUCUAUUUUCGGAACAAGAAUCCGAAAUUGGUUGUAACUCAUGUGAAUAAGUUGAGAGAAAAGCCUCCUUAAUGUACCACCUCUGAAUCCCACUCAAAGGAUCUAAUUACAUAUAUAGCAGUGCUUGAUACUGCCUCUAAGUCUUCGGAAUCAUAAUCUGACAGGCAACUAUCACCUUCAUUUGAACUACAAUGAGUAGCAGCCUGAUUAUCUACUGCGUAUAUUAGGAACAUUAACACCCAUUUCACUAUCCUCAACUGCUAACAGAUUAAUGAUGUUGAAUUGAUCAGAAACAUAAGACUGUAAAGUCCUAAUACCCACAUCCCCAUCCACUUCAUAAUAUUUACCAGAAGGGCAUCAUAUUAUUAGUAGUCGAACAUCAACAUAUCCUAACUUGGAAGUAUACUCAUCUAUUAUAUCUAUGAAAGAUAGAAGGUCAUAAUCAUAUUGUUUUCAGCUGUGUACCAAUUUUCUUGAAUAUACCACUUCUGGCACCCUAAUCCAGUCACCUCCAUAAUGGAAUAAAAGGUCCACAUUAACCAUCUUUGUAAUCUGCAGAACAAAUAAUAGAAAAAGAUAAGAAACAAAAUGAUAAGGGCAUGCGCAUGAUUCAGAUAAAGUAGAAUGAAUAAAAGAUUUGUGAAGUCUCGCACAUGGUAGUUACUAUCUGUUAUUACUACAUGCUGUUUUAUUUAUGGUCCUUAUGUUUAGAUUAU
This 749-nucleotide long non-coding RNA is filed under the name Nicotiana benthamiana. Its description in RNAcentral is "long non-coding RNA (NBEN_LNC002483)". The record is from RNAcentral. Lineage: Eukaryota; Viridiplantae; Streptophyta; Magnoliopsida; Solanales; Solanaceae.